This is a long non-coding RNA of Papaver somniferum (opium poppy), 1655 nucleotides long. RefSeq lists it as uncharacterized. NCBI's taxonomy places the organism in Eukaryota, Viridiplantae, Streptophyta, Magnoliopsida, Ranunculales, Papaveraceae. The transcript is spliced from 3 exons. The record is from RefSeq and is a predicted model, not a curated record.
GGUGGAGAAUCACCGUUCCACCGAUUGGAAUCAUGAUAACAGGAUAAUUCAAGUACAUCAUAAUGAUACCACAUAAAAAAUACAAAAUAUAAUGUAUCCAAAUUUCUGAAAUACAACAAUUGUACAUAAUAGUUGAUCAAAAAGAUAAAUGAUGUAAUCCAAACAAUAUUGGUCUUCUCAUUAGACUUCAACCAUUUAAAAACUUCUUCUUCAUUAAAAUAUAAUCCUUCAUAAAAGGAAUGAUUUGCUCCAAAUAUCAUCAUUACAACCCAUUCUGGUAGUCAUUGAUCAAAUUUGUAAGAAUCUUGAUCAUCGUCACGCCAGAACUGGUCAUCUUUGAAGGUGUACUUGAAUAUAUUACCAGACUCCAUUAGAAAAUCCUAAGAGCAAUAAUAAAUCGCUGUAAUAGCGAAUCGAAACAUCAUAUGACAAAGGAUUGUCAUAGAGAUAAUAUUUAUUGAAAGCAUAAAGAAAUACAUAAAACAAUAUCCUGAUUUUGCAAAUAAAUGCGAUUUUAUUUAAUUAAACAUGAUUUAGUAAAUAAAACAAUCUAGAUUUGCUCGGAAGAUAUGAAAUUCAUAUCUAAACUCGAAUAAAUUUAGAUUUAGGAUGAAAAAGAUGGUGAAAAAAUAGGAUUAGUUUUUACCGGGAAAACGGUUUUGGCGUAGAGUGAGAAAAAGGCUAGUUUGCCUCAGCGCCUAUUCAAGAUAUUAGAUAUCUAUCGUCUUCUUAACCUAUCAAAAAAAGAUAUCUAGCGUCUUCUUUUUAUUGAAAACCCUGACUUCUUUUCACCGAACGCUUCUUCUUUUUUUUUUCUUCUCCAUUUGUUCUCUUUCGUCAUGUAUUGUUUUAUGAAUCUGAUUGUUGAUUUUUUUCUAAUUAUUUUUGUUAGGUUUAUUUUACAGGUGGGAUUUCGGUUGAAGCUUAAAAAGGAUAAAUUACUAAAUAAAAUUAUCGAUGGAUGGUUCGGUUCCGUUACGGUUGCAUUAUGUACCAGGCAACAAUUUCUCGACAGUUUGUAGGGUUGCUGCAAAAUCUCUCCAUAUUCUUCAAGGAUCUUGAGGUAACUCAUUUAUCCUUUAGACUUUGAUCUAUAUAAACUGUUUCUUUAUGUGCAGCUCCCGUGGUUUAGAUGAGAAGCUCUUGGAAAUGGUCAAACCGUUGUUUUAGAUGAAAAGCUCUUGGAAAUGGUCCCAAGGCGUCGGCUCUCAAACUGUUGCAAGGGCAUAAAUAUUACAUCUGAUAAGGCGUAGGGUGGAAGCAAAUAAAAUCUAUGACUUUUGGUGGACUCGAGAUGAACGACAACAGUUGCUUCCAUUACUCAGACCUCAUCAUACGGCGUGGGUUGCGAUAAAUACAUGCUACAUCUUAUAGAUGCAGCAGUGGUACGUUGUCGAGAACCAAGGAUACAAUGUAUAUGGGAAAUGGAGGAAAACCUGUUUAGGCAGGAGUAACAACACUAAACACAUCAAUUUUCCUACCAGACAUUAUGAAUUUAUGAGCUUCGCCAUAUGAAACUUGGGUUCAAAUUAUCUGCAUACGCUUUAACAUAUUUGGAAUUUGUAAUGAGUUUAGUUUGAAUUGGGAUGUAAGUUCAAAUUAUCAAUGAUGAGUUCCGUCUCGCACCAGCAGAAAUACAUCAUCUCUUUUAUAUA